CCUACUGCUACAUCUUAUGACAAUGAUAUAAAACCAGCAAAAGAUAAGUCCUUCUCGAAAGAUGUCCACCCAAACUCUCAGUUGUUCCUUUACAAUGAUGGUGUCGUUAAAGGAGAGAGAUCCUUUGCUGAGGAUCUUGAGCCGAGGCCUAAUGUGUCCGUUUACCACGACGACGCUACUCUUAAAGGAGAAAAAUCUUUUCCGGAGGACUUCGAACCAAACUCUCAGUUGUUCCUUUACAAUGAUGGUGACGUUAAAGGAGAGAGAUCCUUCGCUGAAGAUGUUGAGCCGAGGCCUACUGCUGCUUAUAACUACUAAUUAGCGAGACAAAGUUGCUUGUUGAUGUGCUCAUGGUCUCUUAAUUACGAUGGAGCAGAAUUGAUUUUAGCUAAGCCCGCUAUGGUUUGUGACUUUAUUAAAUAAAGGUUUCCCUUAACUAGGGGCGCUUAUAAGCGAGCUAGCGUGUGUUUAAUUAAGCAAUGUAAGAUGUUUUCCAGUCAUUAUGAUAUCAUGUAAUAUUGCUAUAAGAAGUGUGUGAGAAUGUUACCGUUUUAAUGUGUUUCUUAUCAAACCCUUGCUAGUGUUUCAAAUCUCUCAAUACAUAGAAGAUCUUAACCAUUUUAAAAAAGAAACAGUUUCAAGUCGCCUGCUACCGUGCCUUCCUUGAAAGGGAAACGACGCUGCUCUUUUGCUGCCGAAUUUCAGUACCACCAACAAUCCCCCAUGCUAUAGAUUGCGCUAUCAUAGGAAGCAAUGUAUGAAAUCCAGAAAAGAUAAAGGAAAAUAAUAAAAUUGGCCCGCUCUUGAGUGAGAUUUUUAAUAUCUAAAUAUCUGAUGGUUCAUAUAGGGUUGUAAGGGCUAUUAUAAAAAAAACAACCUUUGAAAACUUUUGUAAAAAUUUAAACUCGGUUCAACAAUCGAGUUAAAAGUUACGGCUUUUUUAAGUCAUUAUUUUUUUGCUUAGAACGACCGGACCUCCUUCUAGGCCUAGAUCUAUCACAUUGAUCUAUAAAUAUAUUUGUUAGGUUAUCCAUAUAAUCUGCAUAUAAUACAUCAUCAUCUAAUUGCGACAGAUUUACACCUGACUUGCAAACCCCUAGAAAAAAAUAUACACUUACAAAAUAAUAGAAAAUAAUUUAAAUUAAGUAAAAAGAGUUAAGCAUGACAUGGAAGAGCAUUGGGGUAAACCUGGUUAGUAAUUUAUAAUAUUAUCGUAAAAUAAUAAUAAGUUCAUAAAAGAACUAAAAUGAUAGAAAAUAUAAAGUAAAUAGUUUUAAGCAUAGUAAAUGUUCACGAGGACCUAGUGAGAUAACUAAUAUGGUUUAUGUAAGGAGGGCACGAGAAAAAUUUGAAAUUUGAAGAAAAAUCACUCGAUGAUCAAUUUUGCGCUUUCAAGUAUAACUUUCAAUCAAAUUAUUGGAUCAGACUGAAAUUUUACGAUAAGUCUUUUUAACAUAUAUUCCUAUUGAAAUUUUAAAUCAACCAGAAUUUUAAAAGCUCAUACAAAGAUGAUGACGACAGUUGAAGAGAAAAAUAACAUAUAACUCAUUAAUGAUAUUUUUUUGUAAAUAUAUGAGUGAGCUGGAAAGUUCCAACAACUUCUUCUCCUUCUUUUAACUCUUGGCAAAACAAGAAAAAAAAAGGGAAAAGAGAGAAAAACCUUGCGAGCUUCCAUACUUAGAGAAUUUAGAGAAAGAAACAAGAAUUGGAGCAAGAUAAAGGAAUUAAAGAGUUUUUUAAACCAUCCAAACCAUUCAAGAAAAGAGUUAAUAGGAAAAUCAAGUGAAAGAAAGGAGAAACUAGAGGAGGAAGUCACGUCCAAAAGAGGAAAAGAGGUCAAGGAGGGAAAAAUUUGACUAGUUAGUAUUUGAAUUUUAUUUUAUUGUCUAAACAAGUUUGAAUGAAAAGAAACGAAUUUAAUGCAUAAUUCUUUAAUUUUGAAAUUAAGGUUCUCAGAAGAUAUUUUGGGGGAAGUGUGAAAUUAUUGUAGUUUGAUAUAAUUAUGACGAAAAUGGUUAUAAAUAAUACAAAAUAAUAAAUAAUUGAAGAAAAUUUUCAGACUAGGAUCAGCCACUUUAGAAGAAAAUAGCAAAGGGAAGGACCAAAUAAAUAUUUGUGUAAUUGCAUGUGUCAAGCAUGUUUGAUGUAUUAAUGAUGAAAUUGAAAAACACUUAAGUAAGCUUGUUUAAUUAGUUGUAGUUGGAUGUUAGUGCAUUUUGAAUGAUUACAUUAAGAAGGAUUGAUGAUAUAAAAGAUUCAUGUUUUAAUUGAUUUGGAAUUAUCAUGGCUUGUAUGCAAUAAGCAUGUAAAUGAAGAAAAAAUUAAACGAGUAAAAAACAUGACUAAACUUUGUGUAUUUUAAAUUAAUUUUGAAAAGUGGUUGAAAUUAAGGUACAGAAAUAGUAGAUAAAUUAUUUAAGUAAAUGUUAAGGAUGUUUUAAAAUUAAAAAGAUGAGGAUUUUCAGAAUCUUUGAAAUGCCAAAUGAGUAUUAAUAUAAGCAAAUAUGACUAACUUUGUGUAUUUUAAGUAUGAAUAUAAGCGUAAAUUAAGCUUGGGACAUAAAAAUAUACCUAGGAUUGUGUGUAAGGAAAUAAAGAUUGUUAAUAAUUGAAGAAGAUAACCUGAGGGGCAUAUCGUAACCAAUCAUCUUUCACUACAAUCUUUUUACAGAUCCCAUGGCACAGAGUGUCUCUUUCUUGUAUAGACAAGUUUAAACAAGCUUUUCAUGAAAACAAAACAAAAGAAAAACGUGAAUCAUUAGUGACCAUAUAUUAAUCACGAGCCUUCUUGUUUAUAUUUUCCCUUUCUCUUCUUGUUCUUUGCCUAUAUAUAAUAAGAAUGCAAGCGACCUCCAUACAAUCAAACAAUUUUAGAAGGAUCUGUUUAAUUUGGGAAGAAAACAUGAAAUCCUCCUUCGCUUUCUUCGUUCUUUUCUCACUCUUUUCGGUAUGCUUUUGUUCCUUUUCUUUUUCUUUUUUGCAAUGAUAAUAGAAUAAAGGGUGCACAUGCACCGCAUGCAUGCAGUACUGUCCUUUUAUCUAUCAAAAUCUUAUAAUAUAAUGUUUUAAUAUUUUUUUAAAAUUCUCUGAUUUAGCAGUUUGCUGACGUUAUCGGUGCUAGAAAAGACACUGGAGAGUAUUGGAGAGCUGUCAUGAAAGAUCAGCCCAUGCCAGAAGCAAUACAAGGCCUUAUUCGCGAAACCACAUUGUCAUCAGUCUCCAAUGAGAAAGCCGAUUGCCACACAACCGAGUCCAAUGAAAAGAAUAAUUUUGUCAAGGAUUUUGGCCCACAGCCUACUGUUACAUCUUAUGACAACGGUAUAAAACCAGCAAAAGAUAAGUCCUUCUCGAAAGAUUUCCACCCAAACACUCAGUUGUUCCUUUACAAUGAUGGUGUCGUUAAAGGAGAGAGAUCCUUUGCUGAGGAUCUUGAGCCGAGGCCUAAUGUGUCCGUUUACCACGACGACGCUGCUCUUAAAGGAGAAAAUUCUUUUCCGGAGGACUUCGAACCAGGACCUAACGUAUCAGUUUAUGAUGAUGGUGUCGGGCUUAAAGGAAAAAAAUCGU
RNAcentral lists this long non-coding RNA (3567 nucleotides) under Populus trichocarpa (black cottonwood). RNAcentral describes it as "long non-coding RNA (PTRI_LNC002353)". Lineage: Eukaryota; Viridiplantae; Streptophyta; Magnoliopsida; Malpighiales; Salicaceae. The record is from RNAcentral.